This 274-nucleotide ribosomal RNA is filed under the name uncultured bacterium. RNAcentral's name for it is "partial 16S ribosomal RNA". It matches the Rfam family "Bacterial small subunit ribosomal RNA", at positions 523 to 796 of the family's 1533-position model. The record is from RNAcentral.
CUACGGAGGGUGCAAGCGUUACUCGGAAUCACUGGGCGUAAAGCGCGCGCAGGCGGUCUUUUAAGUUGGAUGUGAAAGCCUACGGCUCAACCGUAGAACUGCAUCCAAAACUAUUAGACUAGAGUGUGGGAGAGGAAGGUGGAAUUAGUUGUGUAGGGGUAAAAUCCGUAGAGAUAACUAGGAAUACCAAAAGCGAAGGCAAUCUUCUGGAACACUACUGACGCUGAGGCGCGAAAGCGUGGGGAGCAAACAGGAUUAGAAACCCCAGUAGUCC